AUACGUAGGAUGCGAGCGUUAUCCGGAUUUAUUGGGUUUAAAGGGUGCGCAGGCGGGCGAUUAAGUCAGCGGUGAAAGGCUCGGGCUCAACCGGAGCAGUGCCGUUGAUACUGGUUGUCUUGAAUGCGGUCAAGGCCGGCGGAAUGUGGCGUGUAGCGGGGAAAUGCAUAGAUAUGCCACAGAACACCGAUAGCGAAGGCAGCUGGCCGGGCCUGCAUUGACGCUCAGGCACGAAAGCGUGGGGAUCGAACAGGAUUAGAUACCCUGGUAGUCCACGCUGUAAACGAUGGACACUCGUUGUCGGCGACAGACAGUCGGCGGCCAAGCGAAAGUGAUAAGUGUCCCACCUGGGGAGUACGGUCGCAAGGCUGAAACUCAAAUGAAUUGGCGGGG
Molecule: ribosomal RNA, 393 nt
Filed under: uncultured bacterium
Lineage: Bacteria
Description: partial 16S ribosomal RNA
Rfam family: Bacterial small subunit ribosomal RNA
Source: RNAcentral